RNAcentral lists this ribosomal RNA (978 nucleotides) under uncultured Rhodanobacter sp. RNAcentral describes it as "bacterial SSU rRNA". It matches the Rfam family "Bacterial small subunit ribosomal RNA", at positions 527 to 1501 of the family's 1533-position model. Lineage: Bacteria; Pseudomonadati; Pseudomonadota; Gammaproteobacteria; Lysobacterales; Rhodanobacteraceae. The record is from RNAcentral.
AAAGGUUGCAAGCGUUAAUCGGGAAUUACUGGGCGUAAAGGGUGCGUAGGCGGUUAGUUAAGUCUGUUGUGAAAUCCCCGGGCUCAACCUGGGAAUGGCAAUGGAUACUGGCUAGCUAGAGUGUGUCAGAGGAUGGUGGAAUUUCCGGUGUAGCGGUGAAAUGCGUAGAGAUCGGGAGGAACAUCAGUGGCGAAGGCGGCCAUCUGGGACAACACUGACGCUGAAGCACGAAAGCGUGGGGAGCAGACAGGAUUAGAUACCCUGGUAGUCCACGCCCUAAACGAUGCGAACUGGAUGUUGGUCUCAACUCGGAGAUCAGUGUCGAAGCUAACGCGUUAAGUUCGCCGCCUGGGGAGUACGGUCGCAAGACUGAAACUCAAAGGAAUUGACGGGGGCCCGCACAAGCGGUGGAGUAUGUGGUUUAAUUCGAUGCAACGCGAAGAACCUUACCUGGCCUUGACAUGUCCGGAAUCCUGCAGAGAUGCGGGAGUGCCUUCGGGAAUCGGAACACAGGUGCUGCAUGGCUGUCGUCAGCUCGUGUCGUGAGAUGUUGGGUUAAGUCCCGCAACGAGCGCAACCCUUGUCCUUAGUUGCCAGCACGUAAUGGUGGGAACUCUAAGGAGACUGCCGGUGACAAACCGGAGGAAGGUGGGGAUGACGUCAAGUCAUCAUGGCCCUUACGGCCAGGGCUACACACGUACUACAAUGGUCGGUACAGAGGGUUGCGAUACCGCGAGGUGGAGCCAAUCCCAGAAAGCCGAUCCCAGUCCGGAUCGAAGUCUGCAACUCGACUUCGUGAAGUCGGAAUCGCUAGUAAUCGCGGAUCAGCUAUGCCGCGGUGAAUACGUUCCCGGGCCUUGUACACACCGCCCGUCACACCAUGGGAGUGAGUUGCUCCAGAAGCCGUUAGUCUAACCGCAAGGGGGACGACGACCACGGAGUGGUUCAUGACUGGGGUGAAGUCGUAACAAGGUAACC